AAUAUGUCGCAAUGGAGGGAACUCUGACGCAGCGACGCCGCGUGAGCGAUGAAGGUCAUAGGAUCGUACCGCCCUGUCCUUGGGGAAGAAGGUCUUCGGACUUGACGGUACCUCAGGAGGAAGCCCCGGCUAACUACGUGCCAGCACCCGCGGUAAUUCGUAGGGGGCAAGCGUUGUCCGGAAUUAUUGGGCGUAAAGGGUGCGUAGGCGGCCUUUUAAGUCAGAUGUGAAAGCCCACGGCUUAACCGUGGGACUGCAUUUGAAACUGGAGGGCUUGAGUAUCGGAGAGGGUAGUGGAAUUCCCAGUGUAGCGGUGGAAUGCGUAGAUAUUGGGAGGAACACCAGUGGCGAAGGCGACUACCUGGACGAAAACUGACGCUGAGGCACGAAAGCUAGGGGAGCAAACA
Molecule: ribosomal RNA, 407 nt
Filed under: uncultured bacterium
Lineage: Bacteria
Description: partial 16S ribosomal RNA
Rfam family: Bacterial small subunit ribosomal RNA
Source: RNAcentral